This 460-nucleotide ribosomal RNA is filed under the name uncultured bacterium. RNAcentral's name for it is "partial 16S ribosomal RNA". It matches the Rfam family "Bacterial small subunit ribosomal RNA", at positions 338 to 795 of the family's 1533-position model. The record is from RNAcentral.
CCUACGGGUGGCAGCAGUGAGGAAUAUUGGUCAAUGGACGAGAGUCUGAACCAACCAAGUAGCGUGAAGGAUGACUGCCCUAUGGGUUGUAAACUUCUUUUAUAUGGGAAUAAAACAGGGUAUGCAUACCCUCUUGUAUGUACCAUAUGAAUAAGGAUCGGCUAACUCCGUGCCAUCAGCCGCGGUAAUACGGAGGAUCCGAGCGUUAUCCGGAUUUAUUUGGUGUAAAGUGAGCGUAGGUGGAUUGUUAAGUCAGUUGUGAAAGUUUGCGGCUCAACCGUAAAAUUGCAGUUGAAACUGGCAGGCUUGAGUACAGUAGAGGUGGGCGGAAUUCGAGGUGUAGCGGUGAAAUGCUUAGAUAUCACGAAGAACUCCGAUUGCGAAGGCAGCUCACUGGACUGCAACUGACACUGAUGCUCGAAAGUGUGGGUAUCAAACAGGAUUAGAUACCCGAGUAGUC